GGGGCUGUAGCUCAGUUGGGAGAGCACCUCCCUUGCACGGAGGGGGUCAGGGGUUCGAGUCCCCUCAGCUCCA
This 73-nucleotide transfer RNA is filed under the name Anaerolineales bacterium HSG24. Its description in RNAcentral is "tRNA-Ala". It matches the Rfam family "tRNA". From Rfam's summary of the family: Transfer RNA (tRNA) molecules are approximately 80 nucleotides in length. Their secondary structure includes four short double-helical elements and three loops (D, anti-codon, and T loops). Further hydrogen bonds mediate the characteristic L-shaped molecular structure. tRNAs have two regions of fundamental functional importance: the anti-codon, which is responsible for specific mRNA codon recognition, and the 3' end, to which the tRNAs corresponding amino acid is attached (by aminoacyl-tRNA synthetases). tRNAs cope with the degeneracy of the genetic code in two manners: having more than one tRNA (with a specific anti-codon) for a particular amino acid; and 'wobble' base-pairing, i.e. permitting non-standard base-pairing at the 3rd anti-codon position. RNAcentral also lists the same sequence under 1 other name. The record is from RNAcentral. Lineage: Bacteria; Bacillati; Chloroflexota; Anaerolineae; Anaerolineales.